Molecule: ribosomal RNA, 494 nt
Filed under: uncultured bacterium
Lineage: Bacteria
Description: partial 16S ribosomal RNA
Rfam family: Bacterial small subunit ribosomal RNA
Source: RNAcentral
GACGAACGCUGGCGGCGUGCUUAACACAUGCAAGUCGAACGGUGAAGCGCCUUCCUUUUUGGUGGGUGUGGAUGAGUGGCGAACGGGUGCGUAACACGUGAGUAACCUGCGCCCUUCUUCUGGAUAACCGCAUGAAAGUGUGGCCAUUACGGGUUAUUCUGGGUCUGUCGCAUGUUGGGUCUGGGCACGAUCUUGUUUCGGUGGGGGAUGGGCUCGCGGCCUAUCAGCUUGUUGGUGGGGUGAUGGCCUACCAUGGCGGUGAUGGGUAGCCGGUCUGAGAGGAUCAACGAUCACACAGCGACUAAGACACGGCCCAGACUCCUACAGGAAGCAGCAGUGAGGAAUAUUGCACGAUGGGCGCAAGGCUGAUGCAGCGACGCCGCGUGAGAGAUGGAGGCCUUCGGGUUGUGAACCUCUUGCGCCAGUGAAGCAGGCCUGCCUCGUUUGUGGGUGGGUUGACGGUAGCUGGAUAAGAAGCACCGGCUAACUACGUG